RNAcentral lists this non-coding RNA (29 nucleotides) under Mus musculus (house mouse). Lineage: Eukaryota; Metazoa; Chordata; Mammalia; Rodentia; Muridae. The record is from RNAcentral.
UGGCAUUAGCAGUUCCUUUCUGAAGCUGU